UCGAGAAUCUUCGGCAAUGGGCGCAAGCCUGACCGAGCGACGCCGCGUGCGGGAUGAAGGCCCUCGGGUUGUAAACCGCUGUCGUAGAGGAGGAAAUGUAGGGGGGUUCUCCCCUUUGCUUGACCUAUUCUAGGAGGAAGUACGGGCUAAGUUCGUGC
RNAcentral lists this ribosomal RNA (158 nucleotides) under uncultured bacterium. Its description in RNAcentral is "partial 16S ribosomal RNA". It matches the Rfam family "Bacterial small subunit ribosomal RNA", at positions 355 to 508 of the family's 1533-position model. The record is from RNAcentral.